AUUUACAAGAAUUGAUAUAUUUACAUUAUCAUAGGCAGAAUUGAUAUCUAUAAAACAAGCUACUACAUAUUCCCGUUUCGAGAAGGCUAAAAGGAUAUCCGAAACUAACAAACUAACACAGUCUAAAGUGCUUCGGCUUUUGCGAAAACCAUAUUGAAUAUCCGGUAAUAGUUUCUUACUUUCAAUAAACCACUCCAACCUAUUUUUAACUAAAUGUUCCAAAAUCUUAAUUAAAACAGAUGAUAACGCAAUUGGACGAUAAGAAUUUGGAUCAUUACGGGGUUUAUUCGGUUUGAGAAAGGGUAACACCAACUGUAUUUUCCAGUUUGGUGGAAUGUCACCUGUCAUAAAAAUCCCGUUAAUAAUAUUGAGAAAGUAACCUAUAACCUUGUCACUAGAAUGUUUCAAAAAUGAAUAUGGAAUACCGUCGCAACCUGGUGCGGAAUCAAUGACAUACGAUAAGACAUUCUUUAGCUCCAAUAACGAGAAUGGAUCAUUAAAACGCUGCAUGUUAUCAUUAUCAAUAUUGGUUGGGGAAGCCAGUUCAAUACACACGGGGGAUGGGACGAAUGGAGGAGCUAAUUUAUCUAAAAACUUCUCAGCUACUUUAGGAUCAAGAUUAAGGGUGUUAUUUUCUACAAAAGCUCCUCUAAACAUUCUAACCUUUCUCCAAACUUCUGACGGCUUCUGAACAUUCAGAAUCCCACCAUGGAGGGCUGGGAAUAUUGAAUUUAGAGGACUUCUUACGCGGAAAUACUUCAUCAGCUAUAUUAAUUAUAAACUUAGCAAAAGCAUCAGAAGUUUUAAACAAAUGUUCCCGAGAUACAUCAGGUAAUUCACUCAACCUCUCAUCCAUAUGUUUGCGAAACUUAUCCCAAUCUGCAUUUUGAAGUUUAUAUGCUAACAGUGGAGAUCUUUUAAGUACUGGUUUAUUUUUAAUAGGAAAAGAAAUAAGAAUUGGAAAAUGAUCACUGCCAUAGGAAAGUGGAAGUACCUCCCACAAUAAGGAAUGUGAAAUGGAAGAACUACAAAUUGAUAAAUCUAAUGCACUAGGAUUUUCAUUGGGAGCAGACCGACGCGUGGGAACACCAGAAUUUAAUAUACAUAAAUUAUAAUAAUCAACUAUGUCUAUUAUUUCCUCUCCUAAACUACUUGAAUUUAAACACCCCCAAGCAGGGUGAUGGCAAUUAAAAUCUCCUAAUAUUAAACAUGGAGUAGGAAGAGAUGAUAUGAUUUUUCUUACUUCACUAAGUAUGGAAAGUGAGGGAUGAGGUAUAUACACUGAAACUAUACAAAUGUUAUCUACAAGUGCUGAGAUGAUGGAAAAUUCAUUAUUAUGAGGUGCUAAUGGAACAUGAGAGAAAUGAUAUGAUUUUUUUACAAGGAUGGCUACACCACCAUGCCCGUCCGACCUAUCUUCGCGGAGGCAUGCAUAGCCUGGAACUUUGAAACAUGACUCAGACCUGAGCCAUGUUUCAGAUAAGGACAACGAGCCUUAUUGGUAGCAAAGUGAAGACCAGAGCACAGGCAACAAGAUGCACUAUCUUCUUCAACAGUGCAAGAGGAGCCCGUGUGACCCUGUCCACACUUGUAGCAGCGGGGUUUUGACCUGCAUUGCACCUGUGUAUGACCAAACCGGCAGCAAUUAAAGCACUGGAUUGUUGGAUAAACAUAUAGGUCGACCGGCAAAGCGUUAUAACACAUAAAAAUGCGUUUUGGUAGAACCUGUCCAUCAAAAGUUACAACGACAGUUUGUGAUGGCUUCCACACUGGAACGCCAUCCACAACAACUUUAUAAUUGAUUCUUCUCAAUUUUAGAACUUCUCCACAACCUACUGGUACACUUAUACUCUCUUUAACCUCAUCUAAGGACAUUUCAGAUGGAACACCUUUAACUACACCCAUUCUGAUAACAUUAAAUGAUGGGAUGAAUGCUGUAUAUCUAUUCUCCUUCAGUCGGCUGUCUAGAAGAAAAUGGUUGGCAUCCUCAUACUUUGAAAAUGACAGUGAAACUCUAUUGCGACCAAUACGUUUAACGCUGCCAUUAACAAUGUUCUUAAAGUUGUUACGUUUUAAAAAGUUGCCAAAAGCAACUGAAUGAAUUGAAGUGCCAUCAUUUUGAGAUUCUUGUUGCUUCUGUACAUGUACAAUAUAAGGUGAACAAUCUGAAUGAAUAUAUUGUUUCCUAACUGUGACUGUGGGCUGAGAGGAGAUAAUAUCAGCAGGAUUCACGGCUG
Long non-coding RNA from Cydia fagiglandana, 2237 nucleotides. RefSeq lists it as uncharacterized. The transcript is spliced from 3 exons. The record is from RefSeq and is a predicted model, not a curated record. Lineage: Eukaryota; Metazoa; Arthropoda; Insecta; Lepidoptera; Tortricidae.